This 27-nucleotide non-coding RNA is filed under the name Homo sapiens (human). Lineage: Eukaryota; Metazoa; Chordata; Mammalia; Primates; Hominidae. The record is from RNAcentral.
CUGAACCAAAUAGGAGUAACCAUGGCC